Molecule: ribosomal RNA, 477 nt
Filed under: uncultured bacterium
Lineage: Bacteria
Description: partial 16S ribosomal RNA
Rfam family: Bacterial small subunit ribosomal RNA
Source: RNAcentral
GAUUAACGCUGGCGGCGUGCCUAACACAUGCAAGUCGAACGAUGAAACUUAACUGAUUUCUUCGGAAUGAUUUUAAGUGGAUUAGUGGCGGACGGGUGAGUAACGCGUGAGUAACCUGCCUUGGAGAAGGGGAUAGCCUUUGGAAACGAAGAAUAAUACCCUAUGAUAUGAUAAUAUCUCAUGAUAUUAUCAUCAAAGAUUUAUCGCUCUAAGAUGGACUUGCGUCUGAUUAGUUAGUUGGUGAGGUAACAGCUCACCAAGGCAGCGAUCAGUAGCCGGCUUGAGAGAGUGUACGGCCACAUUGGGACUGAGACACGGCCCAGACUCCUACGGGAGGCAGCAGUGGGGAAUUUUGCACAAUGGGGGAAACCCUGAUGCAGCGACGCCGCGUGAUUUAGAAGGCCUUCGGGUUGUAAAAAUCUUUUGUAUGGGAAGAAAAUGACAGUACCAUACGAAUAAGAACCGGCUAAUUACGUG